UACAGAGGGGGCGAGCGUUAUUCGGAAUUAUUGGGCGUAAAGGGCGCGUAGGCGGCCAUUCAAGUGACGGGUGAAAGCCCUCGGCUUAACCGAGGAACUGCCUGUCAGACUGGAUGGCUCGAGACCGGGAGAGGUGAGUGGAAUUCCCAGUGUAGCGGUGAAAUGCGUAGAUAUUGGGAGGAACACCUGCGGCGAAGGCGGGUUGCUGGGCCGACACUGACGCUGAGGCGCGAAAGCUAGGGUAGCGAACGGG
RNAcentral lists this ribosomal RNA (253 nucleotides) under uncultured bacterium. RNAcentral describes it as "partial 16S ribosomal RNA". It matches the Rfam family "Bacterial small subunit ribosomal RNA", at positions 524 to 776 of the family's 1533-position model. The record is from RNAcentral.